AGCUCAGCUGGUUCAGAGCAUCCCGACUUAAAGUCGGGAGGGUCACAGGUUCAAGACCCUCUA
RNAcentral lists this transfer RNA (63 nucleotides) under Chitinophagales bacterium. RNAcentral describes it as "tRNA-Leu". The record is from RNAcentral. Lineage: Bacteria; Pseudomonadati; Bacteroidota; Chitinophagia; Chitinophagales.